ACAUAGCCACUAGCCAAACAAGUAUUAGAGGUAACACCUGCCCAGUGAGGAGCCCCUUUAACGGCCGCGAGAACCAACCGCGCAAAGGUAGCACAAUCACUUGUCCCCCAAAUAGGGACCCGUAUGAAAGGUUGCAUGAGAAAGAAACUGUCUCCUCAGGCUGGUCGAUGAAACUGAUCUAUCAGUACAAAAGCUGAUAUAAAAAAAUAGGACAAAAAGACCCUGUGAAACUUUAAACCCCUAAUCAACCCCCCCUUGAUAAAGGUUUUUAGUUGGGGCAACUAAAGAGAAACAAAACCUCCACCAAACUGCCAAGUCCAACUAGACAAAGCACACCUAUAACCAAAAUCAAUCGACCCAGUACAACUGAUCAAAGAACCAAGCUACUCCAGGGAUAACAGCGCCACACUCUUAAAGAGUCCAUAUCAACAAGAGUACCUACGACCCGGAUGUUGGAUCAGGGCCACCCGACGGUGAAAAAGCUGUCAAGGGUUCGUUUGUUCAACGAUUAAUGCCCUACGUGAUCU
RNAcentral lists this ribosomal RNA (527 nucleotides) under Uromastyx geyri. Its description in RNAcentral is "partial 16S ribosomal RNA". It matches the Rfam family "Bacterial large subunit ribosomal RNA", at positions 1813 to 2606 of the family's 2925-position model. The record is from RNAcentral. Lineage: Eukaryota; Metazoa; Chordata; Lepidosauria; Squamata; Agamidae.